UACGUAGGGGGCUAGCGUUGUCCGGAAUCAUUGGGCGUAAAGCGCGUGUAGGCGGCCCGGUAAGUCCGCUGUGAAAGUCCAGGGCUCAACCCUGGGAUGCCGGUGGAUACUGUCGGGCUCGAGUCCGGGAGAGGUGAGUGGAACUGCGAGUGUAGAGGUGAAAUUCGUAGAUAUUCGCAAGAACACCAGUGGCGAAGGCGGCUCACUGGCCCGGUACUGACGCUGAGGUGCGAAAGCGUGGGGAGCAAAAGGG
This 253-nucleotide ribosomal RNA is filed under the name uncultured bacterium. Its description in RNAcentral is "partial 16S ribosomal RNA". It matches the Rfam family "Bacterial small subunit ribosomal RNA", at positions 524 to 776 of the family's 1533-position model. The record is from RNAcentral.